AUGCUCCCCAGCUGGGCCGGCUGCGGACGCGGGAAGGGAGGUGGUGGCGACUGACGGAACUGGGUGAAGCUUCUGCAGAUGGCCUCCCCUCUCUGCGACUGGUUCCUUAUCGAGGCAAUGGAGAUGUGGACUGCGGUGACUGAUCAAGCCUCACAUAUCUACUGAAUCAGGAAGCCCGAAGGCCUGAGGCCUCCCGAGUGGCCCCAUGGGAGCGUCGUGCAUUUUUCUGGGCCCGAUGACGAUGCUGGCCUGGCGGGGGACUUGGCUGACCCGGCCUCCGCACAGGUGGACUAGUUCACAGAGCUUGGCCACUGGGGGGCUGCUGGCAGGCGAGACAAACAUCGCUGGCUGGUCGGCAAAGAGGGUUCCGCGGUACGGCCCUGCAGACAAGUGGCACUCGCUUCGGCACAGCUGUGGGGCAGACAGAGAUAGAAUUACAGAGCAUAAUAAAUACCGAGCCUCAGCAGCUUUCAUGUGCCUUGCAGGAGACAGUGGCAGCAGGGGCAAAUGAUUCUUCCUGGAUGGUGACUUUAACAAAGACUUCUUCUGGGGGGCACCGAUCUCCACCUGGCCAUGUCUUCAAGCCCAAGGAGAAGUCCCAGGAUGGGUCUGAGCUAAUCACGGUGAUCGCAAUACAAAUGACUGCGCUAAGCAUGGCACAGCUGGCCUCAAUCCUGGCCAAUGCAACGUGAGAAUCAAUUGCUGGUGGGAUUCUGGGGGAGUUUUUCUCACUGUUAUAAACAGAUGCAAAGCAGAAAUACUUCUCUUUGCUGGACACUGUCAUGUCUAAUGUGACGCCUGGAUCACUGAAGCCCCCAGAGGCCACGGGACACGCUGAAAAUGGCCCAGUGGGAAGGCGGAAAGCCUUGGGUCCUGAAAAACACUUCUAAGUCACUGACGGACCAAACUGAAAUCAUCCUUUAUUUUGUUCUUUUCAUGUCAGAAAAAAAGACCCCUAAAUUCUUUAAGUGACUUUUUUGUUAAGUUUUUGUUUCUAGAAGCCCAAAAUAUCCUAAUAAUAAUAAUUUUAAAUAAUCCACCUAUUUUUGGAAAUAGCUUGUUCAUCAUUGAGAUUAUGAAUAAUAGAUCAGUUCUCACCCCUGCCUUCCCCACCAUUUACCAGAGUUAACAACUGUGAAAAAUUCUCUGUGUAUUUUUAAAAAUCCUGUAAAAUGCACACACAACACACACACACAUUUAUGAUAAUGCUUGUUCUUAACCAAAAACUGAGAUCUAAUCUCUAUCUCACUAUAUGGAUAAGCAGUAAAUAAACCUUUUUGUAAUGCAGUAGAAAAGGAAAUCAACCUCUCGAAUGUUUAGGAUGUGACUUCAGUAGCUAGUUUCUUUGUGCUGUGACACUGCCUUCAGAAUUCUGAUCUUGGCCAAUUUUCCUAUCCAGCAAAUAAAGCACCAUUUCCCCCACACUGGUACAUUUUAAAAAGUUAGCUGUGAAUUCUAAGCUGCAAAUAUUAGAUGCAGCAGGCGGUGUUCUCAUUGUAUCACCACUGGCUCUCGCCAAGGAGCCUGUGUGUUACCUGGAGAUCAAGGCGAAAAGCCUCAAACGCACAAAUUCUGAAGUCAACUUGCUGUUUAUUAUUUUCAUGGAUUUUUCAAUACCCUUGGUAAUCGCAAUUUACAGCAAUGUGCUCUAAACUCUAACUUCAGCUGGGCAAAGUGGCUAACACCUGUAAUCCCAGCACUUUGGGAGGCUGAGGUAGUUGGAUUGCUUAAGCCCAGGAGUUUGAGACCAGCCUGGGCAACAUAGGCAGACCCCAUCUAGAUAGAUAGAAAGAUAGAUAGAUAGAUAGAUAGAUAGAUAGAUAGAUAGAUAGAUUAGAUAGAUAGAUAGAUAGAUGGAUGAUAGACAGACAGACAGACAGACAUAGAUAAGCAAGCCCGGCAUGGUGUCACAUGCCUAUAGUUUCCGCUACUUGGGAGGCUGAGGUGGGAGGAUCACUUGAGCCCAGGAAGUUGAGGCUGCAGUGAACUGUGAUUGUGACCCUUCACUCCAGCGUGGGUGACAGAGCGAGACCCUGUCUCAAAACAAUACAACUCCCCACCCCCAACAAAAACCAAUGAUUCUAAUUUCAUUGCAAACCUUUACACACACACACACAUGCACACACCCCAGAAACAGGAGUGCGUGCAGGACAUGUGGAGGGGACAGACGUAAGUUGGGGAACGAUGGCUCGGUGGCAUCGUGUUGUUUUAUUUUUGUUGUUACCUCAGUGAAAACCUCAGAUAUAACCAGGCUCAUCUAUUUAUAUAUUGACCCAGAAGUUUCUAGCUAAAAAAUGUUAAAAGAUAAUUUUUUAAAAAUCAUAACUUUUGGGAAGCUGAGGCAGAAGAAUGGUGUGAACCUGGGAGGAGGAGCUUGCAGUGAGCCGAGAUUGCGCCACUGUACUCCAGCCUGGGCGACAGAACGAGAUUCCACCUCAAAAAAAACAAAAAAAAAAACAAAAAAAACACCCCCCCCCCACCAAAAAACCCAUAACUUUCAUACAGGUAUAAAAUAAACAACAGUGUAUUCAUUUUACUUAACUCAAAUGCUAUAACUGGUUCAAAGGACAAUCCGAAGAACACAUUUAAUGAUUAGGAAUACUGAUAUAAACUUGCUAAUGGACAAAAAAUAUUGGCUUUCCUACAAGGUAGGAAGCAUUCCCUCUACCAGACAGAAUUCAUUUCCUGCCCACAGACAAGCGCGUUUGCAUUGCCAGCAGCUAUUUACAACUUAUGAAGCUGUAAAACAGCUCCCAAGCAAUGAAGGCUGCAAGCAGAUAAGGUGGCAGGCCGUGAGCAGGCCUCAAAUGGAGUUUUACAGUGAAGCACAAAUGUUCCCCUACAGAACCCAAGAUGUCUCUUUAAAAGAAAUCAUGAAAGAAGAGGGGAUUAAGUGGAGCUUAUGGACUGCUCCAGGGUUAAGUGGCCUCCAAAAUAAACAACAGGACUGCUCAGUAGUCAGAGUGAAUUUUGGGUGGGGUUUGAAAGAGUUCCAGCUUUCCUCUGCUAAUGGUGACAUAAAAUGUUCAUUUCAUACCCAUGCAUAUACACUGAUGUAUACAUGUAGUUGAGGAGGCAGUGGCAGAAGCCAGAAGGCUUUCUCUGCCAUGAGCUCCUCCUAGGAGCCCUGGGUUGCAGAGGGUGAGGACUGCUAGGAAAGUCCGUCAGUUAAGGCCGAAGGGACAUUAGCUUUGCCUUAAACCACAUUGGCUGUGCUUGCCUUUGUGUCUUCACCUGAUUUAAUGGGUUUUAGCUCACACUCUCCGAAUCUAUUUACCUCCAAGUCAGUUAAGGCAGACUGUACUGUUGACAAAGCUAAGCAGAACAGAAUUUCCCCAUGGCUUCUAGCUUCAAGGAAUCCCAGCUAUUUAUCCAUCACCAAGAAAUGAAGCCCCAUGGGUGGCUGACGGUUCAUUUACUCCAGCCCAGGGUGUUGGAUUUCAAUUAGUGCAUUCGCUUUUCCCUCUAGGCAGAGCUCACCCUUUAAAGUCGCUCCUUGGCCUGCUAACUGUCUUAAGAUGCACUUUCCCAUCUCAACAAUGAUACAGGACGUGUCUUACAGGGCUGUAGUUCUCAUUCACAGCAUUCUUCCUCUGAGUGGUCCAGGAAAUACUCGCAGGCCUUACAGUCAAGUCACCUUAGAUUUAAAGUACGGAAUACGCGAAACCUUCCUAACUGGUAAAGCGCUCAGUAAUGCAAGCUCUGGGUGCAACUCAGUGGUUCUUAGUAUAGUCAGAGUUAUGCGAUCAUCAGCACAAUCUACUCACACCCUCCUCGAGGUAUUAAAUAAAUAUUUCAGAAUCCACAAUGCAGCCAAUCUCAUCAAUAACUUUACUGAAUCCUGUAGCCCAGCACUCAGGGGUUCUCUAAAACCCUGCCCCGCCUUCCCCUCCAAUUGCGGUGCCCACUGUCUCUUUUAAAUAGACUCUGUCCUCAUCAAGCCUGUUCUCUGUCCCCCAAAUAUGCCGUAUCAUUCCUUAAUGCAUGCAUUUUUUCCCCAGUUCCCUACAAUCUUAUAAUUAGUGGUUACGCUAAUCUAUAUGUGUGUUUAAACUCAUAGAAUUGUAUACAAAAAAGUCAACUGUACUGUGUACACACAUUUAAAAGAUAAAAUGUGUUCUUUUAACGCUUA
This is a long non-coding RNA of Homo sapiens (human), 4132 nucleotides long. RefSeq annotates it as MCPH1 antisense RNA 1. The transcript has 5 exons. The record is from RefSeq and is marked validated. Lineage: Eukaryota; Metazoa; Chordata; Mammalia; Primates; Hominidae.